Carassius carassius (crucian carp) is the source of this 228-nucleotide long non-coding RNA. RefSeq lists it as uncharacterized. The record is from RefSeq and is a predicted model, not a curated record. Lineage: Eukaryota; Metazoa; Chordata; Actinopteri; Cypriniformes; Cyprinidae. The transcript is spliced from 3 exons.
UUUCUCUUUGAUUUUGCAGUGUUAAUUUUACUGUGUCGACAAGGUGUUGACACUAAAAGAUAUUUCUCGUGUGAAGGUGGCUCUGUUCCACUCAACUGUGAUUGGGGAUACAUAAAGGUGAUUACAGCCAACUAUGGGUGAACCGAUAACACAACCUGUUCCACUGGAAGAUCACUUCAUCAGCUCUCAAACGUUGACUGCUUCCAAGAGACAACCGUCCAUGUGAUG